This 485-nucleotide ribosomal RNA is filed under the name uncultured bacterium. Its description in RNAcentral is "partial 16S ribosomal RNA". It matches the Rfam family "Bacterial small subunit ribosomal RNA", at positions 30 to 506 of the family's 1533-position model. The record is from RNAcentral.
AUUGAACGCUGGCGGCAUGCCUUACACAUGCAAGUCGAACGGCAGCACGGGUGCUUGCCCCUGGUGGCGAGUGGCGAACGGGUGAGUAAUACAUCGGAACAUGUCCUGUAGUGGGGGAUAGCCCGGCGAAAGCCGGAUUAAUACCGCAUACGAUCUACGGAUGAAAGCGGGGGACCUUCGGGCCUCGCGCUAUAGGGUUGGCCGAUGGCUGAUUAGCUAGUUGGUGGGGUAAAGGCCUACCAAGGCGACGAUCAGUAGCUGGUCUGAGAGGACGACCAGCCACACUGGGACUGAGACACGGCCCAGACUCCUACGGGAGGCAGCAGUGGGGAAUUUUGGACAAUGGGCGAAAGCCUGAUCCAGCAAUGCCGCGUGUGUGAAGAAGGCCUUCGGGUUGUAAAGCACUUUUGUCCGGAAAGAAAUCCUUGGCCCUAAGACGGUCGGGGGAUGACGGUACCGGAAGAAUAAGCACCGGCUAACUACGU